RNAcentral lists this ribosomal RNA (479 nucleotides) under uncultured bacterium. Its description in RNAcentral is "bacterial SSU rRNA". It matches the Rfam family "Bacterial small subunit ribosomal RNA", at positions 28 to 507 of the family's 1533-position model. The record is from RNAcentral.
GAUGAACGCUGGCGGCGUGCCUAACACAUGCAAGUCGAACGUGAAGGUUGGGAUGAGGACUUCGGUUCGAAUCUUGGCUGGAAAGUGGCGAACGGGUGAGUAACACGUAGGUAAUCUGCCUCGAAGUGGGGGAUAACCAUUGGAAACGAUGGCUAAUACCGCAUAGUUCUGUCGAUAUGGGAAUAUUGGCAGGUAAAGCUCUGGCGCUUCGAGAGGAGCCUGCGUCCGAUUAGUUAGUUGGUGGGGUAAAGGCCCACCAAGGCGACGAUCGGUAGCUGGUCUGAGAGGACGACCAGCCACACGGGGACUGAGACACGGCCCCGACUCCUACGGGGGGCAGCAGUGAGGAAUAUUGCACAAUGGGGGCAACCCUGAUGCAGCAACGCCGCGUGGAGGAUGAAGGCCUUUGGGUCGUAAACUCCUUUUUUGGGGGAAGAGGAAGGACGGUACCCCAAGAAUAAGUCACGGCUAACUACGUG